This 312-nucleotide non-coding RNA is filed under the name Mycolicibacterium chubuense NBB4. Its description in RNAcentral is "Mycobacterium chubuense NBB4 Mycobacterium smegmatis small RNA 1". It matches the Rfam family "Mycobacterium smegmatis small RNA 1". From Rfam's summary of the family: Mycobacterium smegmatis small RNA 1 is highly expressed during stationary phase of growth. Ms1 RNA directly interacts with RNA polymerase (RNAP), but in a different way than 6S, which is present in other bacteria. Ms1 does not require the presence of the main sigma factor for RNAP interaction. The record is from Rfam by way of RNAcentral. Lineage: Bacteria; Bacillati; Actinomycetota; Actinomycetes; Mycobacteriales; Mycobacteriaceae.
ACGGAAGCCGGGUGAGGCCAAGACCGAACCGGAAGAGAAGGUUCGGCCUCCCGACCUCGGCUCCUAGCACGGGUCCCGGAACCCACGCGGAGCACACGCCGCGGAAUAGGCAAAAGCGUUGCGGGCCUGCGUUAUUGCGAAAAUCGAACGACCAUGUCAGCCCUUUGGGUGGGGUUGGUGUCGUAGCGUUUCGCAGUCACGCCGAGGCCAACCCACGCAACCCACAACGCACGCUUGGUAACCGGAGCCCCGUGCUAGCGGGCGGCGAACCGCAGUUGUCUCGGCAACUCGGGUCGCCGCCCGUUUUGCCGU